UUAAUAGUUCUCGUUUUUACUUUUCAUUACUCUCAAAAUAACCACGAAGCAUGGUAAUUUUGACUGAUUUGCUAAUACACUACCGCCAUGGUAAAAAAUACUGCACUUUAUGUUCGAGAUGAAGAUGGUAUGAAGUCUGCACAAAUCAAGUGGUGCUGUGCGUUUAAAUUAAACCAUCAACAUGGUAUUUUUUACCGCAAUGCUGUUUGCAGUGUAGUGUGAGUUCCCGCAUAGAAAUAUACAAUAUGUCUCACAUUCCAAACAGUAAAUGUGUCCUAUCUGUUAGUGUUAGCUUAUCUCAAACAGUUGUCAUAAUGCUGAACAAUAUAAAGACUAACAUGUUAUAUUAUUACAAACAGUAUCAAUCACCCAUAGCAAACUGUGACAAUAUGUUAUAGUGUUAACACAUUGUUGAAUCAUAUAAGGAUUGACACUCGUGAGAAAUGGUGACAAUAUGCAAUCACAUUAUGACAAAUGGUUCGUUUUAUAUUUGGGCAACACACUUACACACGUGCAUUUAACCAUAUUUUACGAGUGCCCAACAAUUUGGCAAACUGUUACAUGUAUAAGUAUAUGUAACCCACUUCACUUCGCUUCGUGCUGUCUGCCAAAACCAAUCGUCACAUCGAGUUUACGUUUUUUCAAGUCGAAGUUCCUCGCUCUCGGUAAAUAUUGUUGUAAAAUCUGGUGUGAAAUCGACCUUUAUUAAAUACGCGUUGCGCAAUUAUUCCACCGACGAAGUUGUUCUUCCCAACAAUAUCCGGUCUCUGCUUCCACCCAACACAAUCACGAAGUGGACAGGGCGGUGGGCCGGCUGCUAGAGUAUCCGCCACAAUCGGUGCCGCUGUUACCUCCUCCAGCAACAAGAAUUGAAAACGGUCCGGAAUCAUGCUACUUCUGCGUUUACAAAUUCUACCCAGGACACGGAUCAGUUUUCGUCCGGAACCCGGAACGACAUAAAGGCUCCAGAUUCUGCUGUACCACCGG
This is a long non-coding RNA of Aedes albopictus (Asian tiger mosquito), 987 nucleotides long. RefSeq lists it as uncharacterized. The transcript has 2 exons. The record is from RefSeq and is a predicted model, not a curated record. NCBI's taxonomy places the organism in Eukaryota, Metazoa, Arthropoda, Insecta, Diptera, Culicidae.